This 2486-nucleotide small RNA is filed under the name Pan troglodytes (chimpanzee). Its description in RNAcentral is "retained intron". The record is from RNAcentral. Lineage: Eukaryota; Metazoa; Chordata; Mammalia; Primates; Hominidae.
AAUUUAGCCAGCUGUGGUGGCACAUACCUGUAAUCCCAGCUACUUGAGAGACUGAGGGAGGAGAAUCACUUGAACCAGGAGAUGGAGUUUGCAGUGAGCCGAGAUGGUGCCACUGUACUCCAACCUGGGUGACAGAGCGAGACUCUGUCUCCAAAAAAAAAAAAAAAAAAAAAAAAAAAGACAUUUCAAGCUGGAAGAUUUGGUUCCCUAACUUUGAGCCUAGCUCUUUCAUUAAAGUAAUAAUAAAAGUAGAACUCUACGUUUAUAUAAUGAUUUUGACUUUCCAAAGUGAUUUUCACAUCUCAGCAGUCCUGUGAAGGACUAAAUAAGGUGUUUCGGGGUAAACUUGGUAUUGUGUUUUGCAAAGAAGGUCCAAGGCCAUGCAGCUAUUUGGUGACAGAAUUGAAAGUAAAGCCUGAUUCUCUUGCUGCAAGGCGACUUUGCUAUGUAGAAGCCAGGGUCACUAGACAAGAUGCAGUCAACAAAUAAGUCUCCAGAACAUAUGACAUCUCCAGCCUAAACCAAGCUCACCUUUCCAUGCUGGCUCCCUCAUGCAGACGGAGGACAUUCGCUUGGAGCCAGAUCUAUACGAAGCCUGCAAGAGUGACAUCAAAAACUUCUGUUCCACUGUGCAAUAUGGCAACGCUCAGAUUAUCGAAUGUCUGAAAGAAAACAAGAAGCAGCUAAGCACCCGCUGCCACCAAAAAGUAUUUAAGCUGCAGGAGACAGAGAUGAUGGACCCAGAGCUAGACUACACCCUCAUGAGGGUCUGCAAGCAGAUGAUAAAGAGGUUCUGUCCAGAAGCAGAUUCUAAAACCAUGUUGCAGUGCUUGAAGCAAAAUAAAAACAGUGAAUUGAUGGAUCCCAAAUGCAAACAGAUGAUAACCAAGCGCCAGAUCACCCAGAACACAGGUAAGAUCUUGGCUUGGCUCUCCUGGCCCCGUGGAGUAUCUGAAAGGGAGUUCAGUGGCUGUAGAGUGACCUGCUCAAACUCCCAGGGCUUUGUUGCCUGGGAAUUUUAAGGGAGGAGUCUGAGUGUAAGCAGGGCCUUCCUCCUUUGAGGAGCAUCCAGAAAAAUGGAGGGAGAGUCAGGGGAGAGAGAGGCCACAAGAACCAGAAAACUGCCCUAAAAGAACGUUCAGAAGGAAUCAGGCCGGCAGUCCUUGGAAAGAAAAAUCUAGAAAUUCAAUAAAACUUCAUGAGUGUGCCAGGAGAAUGUACGGGUAAUCUGGUUCGGAACAGAAACAUUUCACCUCUGAGUUGGAAGACCUCGUAAGUUAAUGGUCACGGUGAGUUGGAUAUUGUAUUUCUUUUUCAGUGUUCUCAAAAGUAUCUGUUAUGGGGAAGGUUGCUGAUGUCCCCUUGAUUUUUCCGAGGACUCCUUAGAGUAUUGGAGUCUGCACAAAACCCCACAGAGUAGAAAUAUUCCUGAGGACUUCCAGAAGUACUCGUUAAUAAGUCAUAUUGCUGAUUAAAAACAGUGUAGUGAGAGCUCAGUAAAUGUUUAUUGAAUAGAUAAAUCCAUGGUUGUAGUCAUGAUCAUUGACGUAAUAUGCUCCCUUUAGGAAGGUGGAUAUCUAAAAAUGUGUGAAUCAGGUGGAAUGUUUUGUCACAUGCUCACUGCUUUCUACUCUAGAUUACCGCUUAAACCCCAUGCUAAGAAAAGCCUGUAAAGCUGACAUUCCUAAAUUCUGUCACGGUAUCCUGACUAAGGCCAAGGAUGAUUCAGAAUUAGAAGGACAAGUCAUCUCUUGCCUGAAGCUGAGAUAUGCUGACCAGCGCCUGUCUUCAGACUGCGAAGACCAGAUCCGAAUCAUUAUCCAGGAGUCCGCCCUGGACUACCGCCUGGAUCCUCAGCUCCAGCUGCACUGCUCAGAUGAGGUGGGAUUUGCGUGCAAAACUGGUUACGCACAGAGCUGCUCAGAGAAGUUUCCACUGGAGAAAAGUUGUUUACUUUCUCUCCCUUCAGCCGUGAAUGAUCUGGUGAAUUGAAGGCCAUCUUCUAGGCUCUCCAUGGUCUGCAUUCCUGUUCUUUGUAACACUGAAUUCAACUUGGCAUUAGUCCUGACACUCUAAAGCGUUGUUCCAUAUUUCUCUGUUGAACAAGGGUGUUCUUUCAUUAUAGCUCUCUGUAAAUUUGUUCUUCCCUUUUUCUUAUUCUGGAUGGUAAACCCAAGACCUGCCAGAAAGAUAAAAGUACUUUCAGCUGGGCAUGGUGGCUCACGCCUGUAAUCCCAACACUUUGGGAGGCCAAGGAGGGUGGAUCAUCUGAGGUCAGGAGUUCAAGACCAGCCUGGCUAACAUGGAGAAAUCUGUCUCUACUAAAAAUACAAAAAAUUAGCCAGGCGUGGUGGCGUGCACCAGUAAUCUCAGCUACUCAGGAGGCUGAGGCAGGAGAAUCACUUGAACCCGGGAGGCGGAGGUUGCAGUGAGCUGAGAUCAUGCCACUGCACCCCAGCCUGGGCGACAGAGGAAGACUCUGUCUG